This 77-nucleotide transfer RNA is filed under the name Bacillus anthracis str. Sterne. Its description in RNAcentral is "tRNA-Trp". It matches the Rfam family "tRNA". From Rfam's summary of the family: Transfer RNA (tRNA) molecules are approximately 80 nucleotides in length. Their secondary structure includes four short double-helical elements and three loops (D, anti-codon, and T loops). Further hydrogen bonds mediate the characteristic L-shaped molecular structure. tRNAs have two regions of fundamental functional importance: the anti-codon, which is responsible for specific mRNA codon recognition, and the 3' end, to which the tRNAs corresponding amino acid is attached (by aminoacyl-tRNA synthetases). tRNAs cope with the degeneracy of the genetic code in two manners: having more than one tRNA (with a specific anti-codon) for a particular amino acid; and 'wobble' base-pairing, i.e. permitting non-standard base-pairing at the 3rd anti-codon position. The record is from RNAcentral. Lineage: Bacteria; Bacillati; Bacillota; Bacilli; Caryophanales; Bacillaceae. RNAcentral also lists the same sequence under 3 other names.
AGGGGCAUAGUUUAAAGGUAGAACUGAGGUCUCCAAAACCUCCAGUGUGGGUUCGAUUCCUACUGCCCCUGCCAAAU